CGCUGGCGGUAUGCUUUACACAUGCAAGUCGUACGAGAGUUUUUAACUCAAGUGGCGGACGGGUGAGUAACACGUAAGAAUUUGCCUUUAGGAGGGGGACAACAACUAGAAAUGGUUGCUAAUACCCCAUAUGCUUUCGAGUGAAAUGGAUUUUUCCGCCUAAAGAGAAGCUUGCGGCUGAUUAGCUUGUUGGUGAGGUAAUGGCUUACCAAGGCGACGAUCAGUAUCUGGUUUGAGAGGACGAUCAGACACACUGGAACUGAGACACGGUCCAGACUCCUACGGGAGGCAGCAGUGGGGAAUUUUCCGCAAUGGGCGAAAGCCUGACGGAGCAAUACCGCGUGAGGGAUGACGGCCUAUGGGUUGUAAACCUCUUUUUUCAGGGAGGAAUCAAAUGACGUGUACCUGAAGAAUAAGCAUCGGCUAACUCCGUGCCAGCAGCCGCGGUAAGACGGAGGAUGCAAGUGUUAUCCGGAAUCACUGGGCGUAAAGCGUCUGUAGGUGGUCCAAUAAGUCAACUGUUAAAUCUUGAGGCUCAACCUCAAAAUCGCAGUCGAAACUAUUAGACUAGAGUAUAGUAGGGGUAAAGGGAAUUUCCAGUGGAGCGGUGAAAUGCGUAGAGAUUGGAAAGAACACCGAUGGCGAAGGCACUUUACUGGGCUAUUACUAACACUGAGAGACGAAAGCUAGGGUAGCAAAUGGGAUUAGAUACCCCAGUAGUCCUAGCCGUAAACAAUGGAUACUAGAUGUUGAACAGAUCGACCUGUGCAGUAUCAAAGCUAACGCGUUAAGUAUCCCGCCCUGGGAAGUAU
RNAcentral lists this ribosomal RNA (812 nucleotides) under uncultured cyanobacterium. RNAcentral describes it as "bacterial SSU rRNA". It matches the Rfam family "Bacterial small subunit ribosomal RNA", at positions 34 to 883 of the family's 1533-position model. The record is from RNAcentral. Lineage: Bacteria; Bacillati; Cyanobacteriota.